RNAcentral lists this ribosomal RNA (465 nucleotides) under uncultured bacterium. Its description in RNAcentral is "bacterial SSU rRNA". It matches the Rfam family "Bacterial small subunit ribosomal RNA", at positions 338 to 795 of the family's 1533-position model. The record is from RNAcentral.
CCUACGGGCGGCAGCAGUAGGGAAUCUUCCGCAAUGGGCGAAAGCCUGACGGAGCAAUGCCGCGUGAGUGAAGAAGGCCUUCGGGUCGUAAAACUCUGUUAUAAGAGAAGAACAAAUUGUAGAGUAACUGCUACAGUCUUGACGGUAUCUUAUCAGAAAGCCACGGCUAACUACGUGCCAGCAGCCGCGGUAAUACGUAGGUGGCAAGCGUUGUCCGGAUUUAUUGGGCGUAAAGGGAGCGCAGGUGGUUUCUUAAGUCUGAUGUGAAAGCCCACGGCUUAACCGUGGAGGGUCAUUGGAAACUGGGAAACUUGAGUACAGAAGAGGAAUGUGGAACUCCAUGUGUAGCGGUGGAAUGCGUAGAUAUAUGGAAGAACACCAGUGGCGAAGGCGACAUUCUGGUCUGUUACUGACACUGAGGCUCGAAAGCGUGGGGAGCAAACAGGAUUAGAUACCCUAGUAGUC